GAUGGAUGAAUAAUUUAGCAGCCGGGGGAAGAAGAAACUGCAUUCAGUGCUGUGUUGUGAAUGGGAGGCAAAAGGGAAGUAGACACCAGGAGAUGACUACGCCUAAGCAAGCCACUUGCCUGAGGCAGUACAUUUUGAGUAGGGUGCUCAAGUUCGUUGCGAUGGGGCGGUGCUGGAUGGUGACCAGAGACAGAAGGCAGAGUCCGUUGCAGAGAAACGCCAAAGCAUCCUGAUCUGCUUAGGCGCGAUCACUUUAUUUGUAACACAGCAACUUGCCAUGGCAGAAUCA
RNAcentral lists this long non-coding RNA (289 nucleotides) under Setaria italica (foxtail millet). RNAcentral's name for it is "long non-coding RNA (SITA_LNC005639)". Lineage: Eukaryota; Viridiplantae; Streptophyta; Magnoliopsida; Poales; Poaceae. The record is from RNAcentral.